Molecule: transfer RNA, 68 nt
Filed under: Marmota monax (woodchuck)
Lineage: Eukaryota; Metazoa; Chordata; Mammalia; Rodentia; Sciuridae
Description: tRNA.Ala
Rfam family: tRNA (bases 7-61)
About the family: Transfer RNA (tRNA) molecules are approximately 80 nucleotides in length. Their secondary structure includes four short double-helical elements and three loops (D, anti-codon, and T loops). Further hydrogen bonds mediate the characteristic L-shaped molecular structure. tRNAs have two regions of fundamental functional importance: the anti-codon, which is responsible for specific mRNA codon recognition, and the 3' end, to which the tRNAs corresponding amino acid is attached (by aminoacyl-tRNA synthetases). tRNAs cope with the degeneracy of the genetic code in two manners: having more than one tRNA (with a specific anti-codon) for a particular amino acid; and 'wobble' base-pairing, i.e. permitting non-standard base-pairing at the 3rd anti-codon position.
Source: RNAcentral
GUUGUCGCUCAGUGGUAGAGCACUUGCCUGGCAUGCAUGAGGUCUUGGGUUUGAUCCUCAGUGCCAUG